GCCGAUAUAAAUAGAAGCAUCGACAGAAGACAACACACACAACUCCAGAAACUCAAGCCAUCAAGCUUUUCUUAUUUCGUUUUACCUUUUGCUUAGGUAGAAUUUCCGUCUGUUACUUUAGUUUAUUUGCUCUGCUAGUUACAAUCUCAGUUACUUUAUCUUUCUUGUAGCCUAGUAUCGAUUUUGAAUUGUUCUCUUUGUUUUCUUUCAAACAACAGUUAAUAAUUUGCAGUCAUUCUAGUUUUCAGUUUCGUUGCUAUUAUCUUUUAUUUGCUCCUUAUUGUCUUUAUGCUUUACUUGUUUAAUCGUGUUAUUCAUAGUAGCUAUUAAUCUUAUAUUUACUCAUACUCUCACAACCACACCUAACUCACCCGACCUUCAGCCACCAAGUCCUUAAUCUAGAGGCAUCGAACCGCAGCCGAGAAUAAGUUCCUUCCUCGGCUAACGAUUGCUUGAUAAGUCAGAUCUACAUCCACUACACCUACAGUUGCACACUUGGCUUUCUGGCCGUGUGCUGGCACGCUCCG
This 527-nucleotide long non-coding RNA is filed under the name Rosa chinensis. RNAcentral's name for it is "sRNA RchiOBHm_Chr4g0419211". The record is from RNAcentral. Lineage: Eukaryota; Viridiplantae; Streptophyta; Magnoliopsida; Rosales; Rosaceae.